UAUGUGAUCGUCUCUCGCAUAUCAAUAAGCGGAGGAAAAGAAACUAACAAGGAUUCCCCUAGUAACGGCGAGUGAAGCGGGAAGAGCUCAAAUUUGAAAUCUUAAAGGGUUUCCCUUUACGAAUUGUAGUUUAAAGAAGUGUUUUCUGUUGAGGUUUUGGUAAAAGUUCUUUGGAAUAGGACAUCAUAGAGGGUGAGAAUCCCGUAUUUGACCUUUACUUUCAACUUUGUGAUACACUUUCAAAGAGUCGGAUUGUUUGGGAAUGCAGUCCAAAAUGGGUGGUAAAUUUCAUCUAAAGCUAAAUAUUGGCGAGAGACCGAUAGCGAACAAGUACCGUGAGGGAAAGAUGAAAAGAACUUUGAAAAGAGAGUUAAACAGUACGUGAAAUUGUCAAAAGGGAAGCGUUUGACACCAGUGUUGUUUUUCUGAAAAUCAAUUAAAGAACUGUUUAUGCUAAGUUGUUUAGACUUUAUCAGCUAACUGUUUAGUUUUGAGCUUUUCAUUAAUGCACUUUUCAGUUAACAAGUCAAUAUCAAUUUCUUUUGCUGUAAAAAAGCUUGAGGAAGGUGGCUUGAGAUUCGUCUUAAGUGUUUAUAGCCUCUUGCCUAUGCAGUCGGAGAGAUUGAGGUCUGCAGCGUAGAUCCUUCGGGGCUAAAUGCAUUUGUGCUAAGUUAUAGCAUUUUAUAGACAACUUGUUGACUAUGAUUUGUCUUGUAGCUUACUCGCUUAUGUUAUUUUACCUACGCUUAGGAUGUUGAGUAGCGACAUACGCAC
RNAcentral lists this ribosomal RNA (774 nucleotides) under uncultured Neocallimastigales. RNAcentral describes it as "partial large subunit ribosomal RNA". It matches the Rfam family "Eukaryotic large subunit ribosomal RNA", at positions 24 to 649 of the family's 3401-position model. The record is from RNAcentral. Lineage: Eukaryota; Fungi; Neocallimastigomycota; Neocallimastigomycetes; Neocallimastigales.